AUCAACUUUCGAUGGUAGGAUAGAGGCCUACCAUGGUUUUAACGGGUAACGGGGAAUUAGGGUUCGAUUCCGGAGAGGGAGCCUGAGAAACGGCUACCACAUCCAAGGAUGGCAGCAGGCGCGCAAAUUACCCAAUCCCGACACGGGGAGGUAGUGACAAUAAAUAACAAUACGGGGUUCUUUCGGAUCUCGUAAUUGGAAUGAGUACAAUUUAAAUCUCUUAACGAGGGACAAUUGGAGGGCAAGUCUGGUGCCAGCAGCCGCGGUAAUUCCAGCUCCAAUAGCGUAUAUUAAAGUUGUUGCAGUUAAAAAGCUCGUAGUUGAAUUUCGGGAUCAAUGUUUCGGUCAUGCCGUUGGUAUGUACUGAUAUUAUUGGUUUCUCACCUUCUAAAGAACCGUAAUGCCAUUAAUUUGGUGUCACGGGGAAUUAGGACUGUUACCUUGAAAAAAUUAGAGUGUUUAAAGCAGGCUCACGCUUGAAUACAUUAGCAUGGAAUAAUGAAAUAGGACAUCCGAUUCUAUUUUGUUGGUUUCUAGGAUCGAUGUAAUGAUUAAUAGGGGUAGUUGGGGGCAUUAGUAUUCAAUUGUCAGAGGUGAAAUUCUUGGAUUUAUUGAAGACUAACUACUGCGAAAGCAUUUGCCAAGGAUGUUUUCAUUAAUCAAGAACGAAAGUUAGGGGAUCGAAGACGAUCAGAUACCGUCGUAGUCUUAACCAUAAACUAUGCCGACUAGGGAUCGGAUGAUGUUAAUUUUUUAAUGACUCAUUCGGCGCCUUACGGGAAACCAAAGUGUUUGGGUUC
RNAcentral lists this ribosomal RNA (800 nucleotides) under uncultured Glomus. RNAcentral's name for it is "SSU rRNA". It matches the Rfam family "Eukaryotic small subunit ribosomal RNA", at positions 314 to 1114 of the family's 1831-position model. Lineage: Eukaryota; Fungi; Glomeromycota; Glomeromycetes; Glomerales; Glomeraceae. The record is from RNAcentral.